CCCGCAGGGCUCCGGGCGGCCGUGACCCUGCUGGAGUCCGGGGGGGACCUCCAGCCCCCCGGGGGCUCCCUACGCCUCCUCUGCCGCGGCUCUGGGUUUGAUUUUGGGAAGUUUGGAAUGUACUGGAUCCGCCAGAGACCCGGGCGGGGGCUGGAAUAUGUCGUGAGUAUCAGCAGCAGUGGUGGCAGCACCAACUACGCGCCGUCGGUCAAGGGCCGGUUCAGGAUCUCCAGGGACAACGGGCAGAGCUCGGUGACGCUGACCAUGAGCAGCCUCAGGGACGAGGAUUCCGCCGUCUAUUUCUGCGCCAAGUCGGCGCUGCUGGAGCCCCUCUGGAGCCGUUUCGUUCCCCAGCGUCGCUCUCACGGCACGGACACGGCGACGGGCAGGUGCCGGCAGCGCACGGCCCCGCGGCAGGCACAAAAAUCAAUGCCGCAGCUGACUUCAAAGGGAUUGGGACCAAUCAAAGAACACAAAACCACACUGAUAUGA
Non-coding RNA from Motacilla alba alba, 492 nucleotides. Lineage: Eukaryota; Metazoa; Chordata; Aves; Passeriformes; Motacillidae. The record is from the annotation of a RefSeq genome assembly.